Molecule: ribosomal RNA, 230 nt
Filed under: uncultured eukaryote
Lineage: Eukaryota
Description: partial 18S ribosomal RNA
Rfam family: Eukaryotic small subunit ribosomal RNA
Source: RNAcentral
GGGAAACUUACCAGGUCCGGACUUAGUAAGGAUGUACAGAUUGAUAGCUCUUUACAGAUUCUAAGGGUGGUGGUGCAUGGCCGUUCUUAGUUGGUGGAGUGAUUUGUCUGCUUAAUUGCGUUAACGAACGAGACCUUAACCUGCUAAAUAGGAUCACCUAUCUCCGGAUAAGUGACUUUCUUCUUAGAGGGACUUUAUGCGUUUCAGCAUGAGGAAGUUUGAGGCUAAAA